Non-coding RNA from Thamnophis sirtalis, 950 nucleotides. Lineage: Eukaryota; Metazoa; Chordata; Lepidosauria; Squamata; Natricidae. The record is from RefSeq and is a predicted model, not a curated record.
AUUGAGUUCUCUCUUCCUCUCUUCCUAGCAUCCAUCUUUGCCUGGACCAGAGGUCUAGCUCAUAGAGCAAAAUUAGAUAACAACAAAGACCUCCAGAAUUUUGCUUCAGCCUUGGAGGAGGUCUGUGUAGAGACUAUUGAAGCUGGUUUCAUGACAAAAGACUUGUCUGCUUGCAUUAAAGGGCUGCCGAAUGUGAAACGCUCUGAUUAUUUGAACACAUUUGAAUUCAUGGAUAAACUUGCUGAAAACCUGAAGACAAAAUUAUCUUCUCAGCCAAGAUUGUAAGAGCUGGCCUUGAAGUAUUUGCUCUGGAAAGACAACUAUCUCGUGGAUGGGCGACUAUAUUAUGUAUUAUGUAUAUACAUAAAAGAAAUAAGGGUAGCACUUCAAAAAGUAAGCAAUCAACCUGAACCUUGUAAUGAUCAAACUCUCUCACCUCUAGCUUUCUGUAAUGUUGAGAGAGGAAAAGGCACAGGUAACAGCAGAACUGAUGUUUGUCUCUCUAUGGAAAAUAGCUUUUUCCUGGUCAGGAAUUAGGGGAAUUAAUAUUUGUUUAAGGGGAAUGGGCUCUAAAUUAAGUCAUUUUAAAGAAUUUUACUUUCUAACUCAUUAGAUUAUGUUCAGAAUGCAGAAAACACUUCUGACAAACCAUUCUAACAAAAUUGAAAAACACCCAGCUUGAUAUGGGCAAUGUUAGAAGAGGAUUUUAAUUACUUGUGGUGGGGAAGAAGUUUUAGAGGAAGCUUUACUAUGGCAUAGCCUUAUAACACAGUACAGGCAGAAACAAUCCUUGAAUUUCCUUACAUCUGGGAGCUGACUAAAGAGAAAAAAAGCUGCUUUUCUGCUUGCACAUGUAGCUUAAGACGGAGCAUUUCAAACUAACUUGUCACCCAAUUUGGAUUGGUGGUUAACAUUGAUUUUUAAAGCAGGAAAUAAACACUAAUACCCAU